Molecule: long non-coding RNA, 1538 nt
Filed under: Ananas comosus (pineapple)
Lineage: Eukaryota; Viridiplantae; Streptophyta; Magnoliopsida; Poales; Bromeliaceae
Description: long non-coding RNA (ACOM_LNC022244)
Source: RNAcentral
UUCUCUUCAUGAAAUUAUCCCUAUAUUAUAUAAUAACAAGUGUAGAGACCCGCGCGAUGCAGCAAGUAGAUAAUAGAAAUAAAUUUUUAAUAUUUUAAUAAAAUUUAUAUUUACAGCUUUUAGGAAGCUAUACCAUGUUUAAGCACAGUCAAUUUGCAUAACUAAAUUCAGUUAUUAAAAAAAUAAAAUAAUAGUUAGAAGCAUAUGAAAUAUAUAAAUAAUAACUUAACGUAUCUAGCUUAAGAAAAUUUUGGUUGGCGUCUCAGGCUCCAAAUCUCCGCAUCAUACUUUUUAAUCUACGAAAGAAAUUUUGCCCACAACAGUGUCUACUCAAAAAAAUGAUCAUAAUAUGAAAAUAAAACAAAAAACAUCAAUCUUAAAAAAACUAAUAUUUUUUUGGAGCACUUCUCUUACUCAUCCAAAUCUCAUACAUCUUCUUAAUCUUCAGCUGGUAGUUGCUCCCUGCGCCGAGUCAUUUCUGGAUUUCCAUUGUAACCUAUGAACAAACACCUCAUCUACAUCACCAAACUGCGAUAUCUAAACCGACACAGUCUUGCCAUCACAUCAACCACAGAAACCCUAAUUCUUAAACAAUUUGAUUUAUCAAAAAGUUCCUGCAAUUCUUGAGAAGCGAGCUCCCGCGCAACAUCGCCGCGAAGAGGAGGCUAGGACGGCGCUCCCCUCGGCCUAGUUGCCGGCGCGCGGGAGCCGUGUGAGGAGGCAGCCGAGGCGGCGGCGGUUCACGGCGAGCGACGGCUCCAGUGCAGACUGGCCCAGCGAGCACUUAUAUGGGGCGCGGCUGGACUUUACAGGACGAUAUUUUUUGAAGGAGACAACGUUCUUCGCAUGCUCUUCUUCUUCAUCAUCCUCAUAAUCUUUGUUAACACAAUGAGAUAGAGAGAAGGAGAUAAGUGUGGGGUGAGAGAUUAGAUGAUAAUGUUCCUUUUUGCAUGAAAAAUAACAUGUCAUGCAAGAAAGAGGGGGUGAGGGGAUUAAUGGUGGAGGGGAGUGGAUUGGAGUUACAAAGCUCACUAAUUGGUGAAAUAUAAUGCAUGUAAUUAAAUGUGGAGAGGUGAAAGAUUGAGCAUUUAGAAGUGGAGAUUAAUAGUGGAGGGGAGUGGAUUGGAGUUACAAAGCUUACUAAUUGAUAGAAUAUGAUGCAUGUAAUUAAAUGUGGAGAGGUGAAGGGUUUAGCAUAGCAUUUAGAAGUGAUGAUUAAUGGUGGAGAGGAGUGGAUUGGAGUUACAAAGCUCACUAAUUGGUGGAAUAUAAUGCAUGUAAUUAAAUAUAGAGAGGUAAACGGUUAAGCAUUUAGAAGUGGAGAAGAAACGUAAAUUUUAUAUUGGGAAUUCAUAUAAGAGAUGGAUAUUAUCUAUUAACCUAAGAAUGAAGGGUUUCUUGCCACGUGGCAAGAAAUAUUGGGGAUUCAUUAUGUUUAAUAGAUAUAAUAUAUAUAAUAAAAAAAUAUAUUUAGUGUAGAUUUGUUAAAACACUAAUAUAUAUUUUUAAUUGAUUAUUGAAAUACGAAACAUAACAAA